RNAcentral lists this ribosomal RNA (491 nucleotides) under uncultured bacterium. RNAcentral's name for it is "partial 16S ribosomal RNA". It matches the Rfam family "Bacterial small subunit ribosomal RNA", at positions 28 to 507 of the family's 1533-position model. The record is from RNAcentral.
GAUGAACGCUAGCUACAGGCUUAACACAUGCAAGUCGAGGGGAAACGGCAUCGAAAGCUUGCUUUUGAUGGGCGUCGACCGGCGCACGGGUGAGUAACGCGUAUCCAACCUGCCCAUCACUUGGGAAUAACCUUGCGAAAGUAAGACUAAUGCCCAAUGACAUCCCACGAAGGCAUCCGAAUGGGAUUAAAGAUUUAUCGGUGAUGGAUGGGGAUGCGUCUGAUUAGCUUGUUGGCGGGGUGACGGCCCACCAAGGCAACGAUCAGUAGGGGUUCUGGGAGGAGGGCCCCCACAUUGGAACUGAGACACGGUCCAAACUCCUACGGGAGGCAGCAGUGAGGAAUAUUGGUCAAUGGGCGAGAGCCUGAACCAGCCAAGUAGCGUGCAGGAUGACGGCCCUAUGGGUUGUAAACUGCUUUUAUAAGGGAAUAAAGUGGGUCACGUGUGACUUUUUGCAUGUACCUUAUGAAUAAGGACCGGCUAAUUCCGUG